CGUGGGAACCUGCCUUUAGGUUCGGAAUAACUCAGAGAAAUUUGAGCUAAUACCGGAUAAUGUCUUCGGACCAAAGAUUUAUCGCCUUUAGAUGGGCCCGCGUUAGAUUAGAUAGUUGGUGGGGUAAUGGCCUACCAAGUCGACGAUCUAUAGCUGGUCUGAGAGGAUGAUCAGCCACACUGGGACUGAGACACGGCCCAGACUCCUACGGGAGGCAGCAGUGGGGAAUAUUGGACAAUGGGCGAAAGCCUGAUCCAGCAAUGCCGCGUGAGUGAUGAAGGCCUUAGGGUUGUAAAGCUCUUUUACCAGGGAUGAUAAUGACAGUACCUGGAGAAUAAGCUCCGGCUAACUCCGUGCCAGCAGCCGCGGUAAUACGGAGGGAGCUAGCGUUGUUCGGAAUUACUGGGCGUAAAGCGCGCGUAGGCGGUCUAUUAAGUCAGGGGUGGAAUCCCGGAGCUCAACUCCGGAACUGCCCUUGAAACUGGCAGACUAGAAUCUUGGAGAGGCG
RNAcentral lists this ribosomal RNA (508 nucleotides) under Erythrobacter sp. MS-M-33. RNAcentral describes it as "bacterial SSU rRNA". It matches the Rfam family "Bacterial small subunit ribosomal RNA", at positions 116 to 659 of the family's 1533-position model. The record is from RNAcentral. Lineage: Bacteria; Pseudomonadati; Pseudomonadota; Alphaproteobacteria; Sphingomonadales; Erythrobacteraceae.